Molecule: ribosomal RNA, 570 nt
Filed under: Enterobacterales bacterium
Lineage: Bacteria; Pseudomonadati; Pseudomonadota; Gammaproteobacteria; Enterobacterales
Description: bacterial SSU rRNA
Rfam family: Bacterial small subunit ribosomal RNA
Source: RNAcentral
UUGAGGAGUGGCUUCCGGAGCUAACGCGUUAAGUCGACCGCCUGGGGAGUACGGCCGCAAGGUUAAAACUCAAAUGAAUUGACGGGGGCCCGCACAAGCGGUGGAGCAUGUGGUUUAAUUCGAUGCAACGCGAAGAACCUUACCUACUCUUGACAUCCAGAGAACUUAGCAGAGAUGCUUUGGUGCCUUCGGGAACUCUGAGACAGGUGCUGCAUGGCUGUCGUCAGCUCGUGUUGUGAAAUGUUGGGUUAAGUCCCGCAACGAGCGCAACCCUUAUCCUUUGUUGCCAGCGGUUCGGCCGGGAACUCAAAGGAGACUGCCAGUGAUAAACUGGAGGAAGGUGGGGAUGACGUCAAGUCAUCAUGGCCCUUACGAGUAGGGCUACACACGUGCUACAAUGGCGCAUACAAAGAGAAGCGACCUCGCGAGAGCAAGCGGACCUCAUAAAGUGCGUCGUAGUCCGGAUCGGAGUCUGCAACUCGACUCCGUGAAGUCGGAAUCGCUAGUAAUCGUAGAUCAGAAUGCUACGGUGAAUACGUUCCCGGGCCUUGCACUCACCGCCCGUCAAAA